Molecule: long non-coding RNA, 928 nt
Filed under: Lactuca sativa (garden lettuce)
Lineage: Eukaryota; Viridiplantae; Streptophyta; Magnoliopsida; Asterales; Asteraceae
Description: long non-coding RNA (LSAT_LNC008570)
Source: RNAcentral
UUUUAAUUUUUUAUAUGAAUAGGUGUUAUUUUAAUGGGUAUGUAUAGGGCUCUAAUAACAAAAAAGAAAAAGUUUUGAGGGUUUUAAAUUUAUAACAGGUCAUUAAUAUAUAAGAAAAAAGUACGUGUACCAUAGCUUGAUAAAUGUGUACUUAAUUGAAUUUGAAUAAACAUAACCUCAUCGUGAAGCUCGCCGUGAAAAGCAACUCCUCAUUAGGGAAAAGGAAUCGGCCACCAAUGGAAUGGACAUCGAUCGAUACCAUCUCCGGCAACAUGAAGUUGAAGAAAAUCUCUAAAAAUGAGCACAUUCAUCCAUUUUUCUCCUCUGGUAAAGACAAUAUAUCACGAAUAGUAUCUGAGAAGGAAGUGUUUGAGAUAUACCGGCUAUUAGUGUUUGAGAUACAAAUCGACGAUGUUUGAGAUAUAAUUUGACGAUGUCCGAUGAAAGCAGAUCGGGAAAACUUUGUAUUGCAACUACAAUGGCUAGUGAAACCGAAUCGGAAACUAGAUACGGUUUCCUUCUGCUUCAGAUUCGUCACCGAUGAAACCAGAUCUGGCAACCGACAGAAAACGAGAUCAGAAAGGAUACGAAACGGAGGUGCUUUCCGACGAAGUGCUUUCCAACUAAGGAAGAUGAGAGGCGGAAUGAGAUGGUUCAGGAAGAGGAUAGAAGAAUGAAAUUGUUUGGGGCGCCAGUUCAAGAAGAUGGGAGGAAGUAGUUUUCGAUGAGCGAACGAAUGGGGGCGAAAAAAGGAUGUCAAAGAAGAUCUAUAGUGAGUGAAGAAACAGCAUUUUGUUGGUGGUCCGAUCACUCCGACGGUGUUCCAGUCGAUUCGAUGGUGGUCCGGUAGUCCGAUGGUUGGUGACGGUCCGGUCGUCUUUGGUGGAGCUACUUCAAUGUAAUAUUAUGAGGUGUGGGGAUAGGAUAG